GAUGAACGCUGGCGGCGUGCCUAAUACAUGCAAGUCGAGCGAACGGACGAGAAGCUUGCUUCUCUGAUGUUAGCGGCGGACGGGUGAGUAACACGUGGAUAACCUACCUAUAAGACUGGGAUAACUUCGGGAAACCGGAGCUAAUACCGGAUAAUAUUUUGAACCGCAUGGUUCAAAAGUGAAAGACGGUCUUGCUGUCACUUAUAGAUGGAUCCGCGCUGCAUUAGCUAGUUGGUAAGGUAACGGCUUACCAAGGCAACGAUGCAUAGCCGACCUGAGAGGGUGAUCGGCCACACUGGAACUGAGACACGGUCCAGACUCCGGCGGUAGGCAGCAGUAGGGAAUCUUCCGCGAGGGACGAGUGCCUGACGGUGCAACGCCGCGUGAGUGAUGAAGGUCUUCGGAUCGGAAAACUCUGUUAUUAGGAAAGAACAUAUGUGUAAGUAACUGUGCACAUCUUGACGGUACCUAAUCAGAAAGCCACGGCUAACUACGUG
Molecule: ribosomal RNA, 497 nt
Filed under: uncultured bacterium
Lineage: Bacteria
Description: partial 16S ribosomal RNA
Rfam family: Bacterial small subunit ribosomal RNA
Source: RNAcentral